GUUAGACACAGCUGGACUUUUCCUGGAACCAAUUCCUUUAGACAAAUUCUUCACCAGACCAUCAACCCAGGAGGGCAAAUGGGGAGCUUGUGAAGAGUUGGGGCCAAACCACCACAGCUUCCUGUGCCAGUUAACAAAGGAAUCAUGUAAAUCACUCAUGCCCACCAUGAGGACCAGGAGACGCAGAGACAGAUGUAUUUGUCCAGCAUAACUGAGGAACUACUACGGCUCACAAAAUUCAAGAUUCCCCUGGGACUGAAAGAAAACAGUUUGCAGUUCUUCCUCUUCACUCCAAGUCCAAAGUUCACCUCAGCCAAUCAGAGGCAACCGUUUACCUGAUCAUUAUACUGGACACUCAUUAUACAGGAUAAGAGACCUGGACACCAGUGAGCGAUGCAAGGUCAGUGUGUAUCUUGCCGCAGUGCUGUGUAUUAUCAGGAACUGGAAUGCUGGAAAGAUAGCUUUUGAAAGUUCAGACCUGGAGCUCAAUUCACCUUCCAGUUGCUAAAAUGAGGUCCUCAAAAAUCAAGUUCCUGAAUCUUCAGUUCUCAUGAAUGAACAUGUAAGCUGUGG
Molecule: long non-coding RNA, 573 nt
Organism: Nannospalax galili (Upper Galilee mountains blind mole rat)
Lineage: Eukaryota; Metazoa; Chordata; Mammalia; Rodentia; Spalacidae
Exons: 3
Source: RefSeq, a predicted model, not a curated record